RNAcentral lists this ribosomal RNA (257 nucleotides) under uncultured soil bacterium. RNAcentral describes it as "partial 16S ribosomal RNA". It matches the Rfam family "Bacterial small subunit ribosomal RNA", at positions 26 to 296 of the family's 1533-position model. The record is from RNAcentral.
AGGAUGAACGCUAGCGGCAGGCCUAAUACAUGCAAGUCGAACGGGUGUAGCAAUACACUAGUGGCGCACGGGUGCGUAACGCGUAACCAAUCUGCCCUGAACUGGGGGAUAGCCCGCCGAAAGGCGGAUUAAUACCGCAUAAACCAACAGAACGGCAUCGUUUAAUUGGUAAAGAUUUAUUGGUUCAGGAUGAGGUUGCGUGCCAUUAGCUAGUUGGCGGGUAACGCCACAAGGCGACGAUGGCUAGGGGACCUGAG